CACGUGGUAUCCUGUCUGAAUAUGGGGGGACCAUCCUCCAAGGCUAAAUACUCCUGACUGACCGAUAGUGAACCAGUACCGUGAGGGAAAGGCGAAAAGAACCCCGGCGAGGGGAGUGAAAAAGAACCUGAAACCGUGUACGUACAAGCAGUGGGAGCACGCUUAGGCGUGUGACUGCGUACCUUUUGUAUAAUGGGUCAGCGACUUAUAUUCUGUAGCAAGGUUAACCGAAUAGGGGAGCCGAAGGGAAACCGAGUCUUAACUGGGCGUUAAGUUGCAGGGUAUAGACCCGAAACCCGGUGAUCUAGCCAUGGGCAGGUUGAAGGUUGGGUAACACUAACUGGAGGACCGAACCGACUAAUGUUGAAAAAUUAGCGGAUGACUUGUGGCUGGGGGUGAAAGGCCAAUCAAACCGGGAGAUAGCUGGUUCUCCCCGAAAGCUAUUUAGGUAGCGCCUCGUGAAUUCAUCUCCGGGGGUAGAGCACUGUUUCGGCAAGGGGGUCAUCCCGACUUACCAACCCGAUGCAAACU
Molecule: ribosomal RNA, 531 nt
Filed under: Escherichia coli
Lineage: Bacteria; Pseudomonadati; Pseudomonadota; Gammaproteobacteria; Enterobacterales; Enterobacteriaceae
Description: partial 23S ribosomal RNA
Rfam family: Bacterial large subunit ribosomal RNA
Source: RNAcentral